RNAcentral lists this ribosomal RNA (303 nucleotides) under uncultured Fusobacterium sp. RNAcentral describes it as "bacterial SSU rRNA". It matches the Rfam family "Bacterial small subunit ribosomal RNA", at positions 1212 to 1513 of the family's 1533-position model. The record is from RNAcentral. Lineage: Bacteria; Fusobacteriati; Fusobacteriota; Fusobacteriia; Fusobacteriales; Fusobacteriaceae.
GGCUACACACGUGCUACAAUGGGUAGUACAGAGAGUCGCAAAGCCGCGAGGCGGAGCUAAUCUCAGAAAACUAUUCUUAGUUCGGAUUGUACUCUGCAACUCGAGUACAUGAAGUUGGAAUCGCUAGUAAUCGCGAAUCAGCAAUGUCGCGGUGAAUACGUUCUCGGGUCUUGUACACACCGCCCGUCACACCACGAGAGUUGGUUGCACCUGAAGUAGCAGGCCUAACCGUAAGGAGGGAUGCUCCGAGGGUGUGAUUAGCGAUUGGGGUGAAGUCGUAACAAGGUAUCCGUACGGGAACGU